This 285-nucleotide long non-coding RNA is filed under the name Lathyrus oleraceus (garden pea). RNAcentral describes it as "Pisum sativum (pea) long non-coding RNA (PSAT_LNC016373)". The record is from RNAcentral. Lineage: Eukaryota; Viridiplantae; Streptophyta; Magnoliopsida; Fabales; Fabaceae.
GAAUAAGAAAAAACCCUGGAACCAAGCCAACCAAAAAGGUGAUGUUGCAGGUAGAGGAAGAUGUGGUGGUCAAAAGCCAGACAAGGGUCACAUUAAGUGUUACAAUUGUCAGAAGUAUGGUCACUAUUCUAGUGAUUGUCUAGAAAAGAAGAAGAAUCAAGAAACUUAUGCAAAGCUGGCGAAACAUGAAGAAGAAGACACGUUGCUGAUGGUUACAAUAAGAGAUGAAUGGAUAUGGCAUUACAUACUCGGCCAUCUCAAUUUUAAAGACAUCAGAGAUUUUAA